GAUGAACGCUAGCUACAGGCUUAACACAUGCAAGUCGCGUGGCAGCAUGGGGGUUGCUUGCAACCCCUGAUGGCGACCGGCGCACGGGUGAGUAACGCGUAUCCAACCUGCCCUUCACCACGGGAUAACCCGGCGAAAGUCGGACUAAUACCGUAUGUUGUCCAUUUACGUCCUCCGAUUUCGACGCACGGCUUGGGUGUCUACGGAUGGGGAUGCGUGCGAUUAGCUUUACGGCGGGGUAACGGCCCACCGUGGCUACGAUCGGUAGGGGUUGUGAGAGGAAGGUCCCCCACACUGGAACUGAGACACGGUCCAGACUCCUACGGGAGGCAGCAGUGAGGAAUAGUGGUCAAUGGGCGUAAGCCUGAACCAGCCAAGUAGCGUGCAGGAUGACGGCCCUAUGGGUUGUAAACUGCUGUUAUGCGGGGAUAAAGUGGCCCACGUGUGGGCUUUUGCAGGUACCGCAUGAAUAAGGACCGGCUAAUUCCGUG
This 491-nucleotide ribosomal RNA is filed under the name uncultured bacterium. RNAcentral describes it as "partial 16S ribosomal RNA". It matches the Rfam family "Bacterial small subunit ribosomal RNA", at positions 28 to 507 of the family's 1533-position model. The record is from RNAcentral.